This 66-nucleotide transfer RNA is filed under the name human gut metagenome. It matches the Rfam family "tRNA", at positions 6 to 65 of the family's 71-position model. Rfam says of the family: Transfer RNA (tRNA) molecules are approximately 80 nucleotides in length. Their secondary structure includes four short double-helical elements and three loops (D, anti-codon, and T loops). Further hydrogen bonds mediate the characteristic L-shaped molecular structure. tRNAs have two regions of fundamental functional importance: the anti-codon, which is responsible for specific mRNA codon recognition, and the 3' end, to which the tRNAs corresponding amino acid is attached (by aminoacyl-tRNA synthetases). tRNAs cope with the degeneracy of the genetic code in two manners: having more than one tRNA (with a specific anti-codon) for a particular amino acid; and 'wobble' base-pairing, i.e. permitting non-standard base-pairing at the 3rd anti-codon position. RNAcentral also lists the same sequence under 2 other names. The record is from RNAcentral.
CUAGGUAGCUCAGUCGGUAGAGCAAUGGACUGAAAAUCCAUGUGUCGCCGGUUCGAUCCCGGCCCA